This 253-nucleotide ribosomal RNA is filed under the name uncultured bacterium. RNAcentral's name for it is "partial 16S ribosomal RNA". It matches the Rfam family "Bacterial small subunit ribosomal RNA", at positions 524 to 776 of the family's 1533-position model. The record is from RNAcentral.
UACAGAGACUGCAAGCGUUAUUCGGAUUCACUGGGCGUAAAGGGCGCGUAGGCGGCCGUUUGCGUCGGAUGUGAAAGCCCGGGGCUCAACCUCGGAACGGCAUUCGAUACGGGACGGCUGGAGACCGGGAGAGGAGAGUGGAAUAGCCAGUGUAGAGGUGAAAUUCGUAGAUAUUGGCUGGAACACCGGUGGCGAAAGCGGCUCUCUGGCCCGGUUCUGACGCUGAGGCGCGAAAGCGUGGGGAGCAAACAGG